CCUGACACGGGGAUCAAACCCACGUCUCCUGAAUCUGCAGGCAGAUUCCUUACCACUGGGCCACCAGGGAAACAUGAGCUCAAAGAAUGACAAAAGACAGGCAACAUACUUCUACGACAGAACACUCUGGAACUGACUUUUUACCUCUCUGCGGCUGCUUGUAGAGCAAGAGCAUCACACAAUGGGCCCCAAGCAGCAUUAGCACAGGCUCUAAGUGACCCUUUAGUUGACUGUGGACAGUACCCCAAUAGCCCUCAGCCAGCGCCCAACCUCAUGCUGACUUUCAAUACGCUUCCUGAUGACAGGCAGCAGCUGGCCCUCAAUUUCCUGAUCAGGAAACCUGAGAGGAAAGCCCAGUGAGCCAGGCAGGAUUCCAAGCUGGUUUUGGAGCCAGACACUGUGCAAAGCGUCUAGUCAUUAAGAAGCCCAAGUUUCUAGUUUCUAACAACAGUGUACCAACCUACCAUUGAAACCUACUUCAGAAGGCUUGGUUCAACAGAAAAGUGUAUUUUACAAUUCAUAAAUCAUCAUGGAAACUCAUCUUUACCUUUUACUAAAAAUCGCAUAGACGUUCUGAUCAAUAAUAUAAAUACGAUAUUGUACUUAGCCACACGUGUACAGAUUUGNNNNNNNNNNNNNNNNNAUACAAACACAUAUAUAAACACAUUUAACACAUAGAUACGUAAAUCCAAGCUUAUAUAAAUAAAUAUGUGCAUAUUAAUUUUAUAUUUAAAUAUGAUUGCCUCCUGGUACACUCAUUUUUAGAUAGGUUUAUCUAGAAUAUUUGCUUAACAUUUAAGUGGUUUUGAAUCAAAUGAUACAUCUAAGUAAGGCUGAUCAAAGUAUUAUGUAUAAAGUUUCCUGACCAUUCAACUUUUCUCUAUUGGCUGAUUCAAGAAAUUAGUAGCAUGGGCUUCCUCAGCUUCUUCCAUCUGUAUAGAGUUGACAUUAAUGUCUGUAUCUUUUCUAAAUUUUCCAGAAAUAUCUCCAACUUCAAAGUUUGUACAAAAUAAUUAAAUAGGUAACAUCACCAGCAUGUCCCCCAUGCUAUAAAAUUUCUUACAGCAAAUAAUCCUAAAAACUUACAAAAGAAAUCUGGUCAAUAAGAUCUAUCCAUUGUGUAUAUGUACCACAGCUUUCUUAUCCAUUCAUCUGCUGAU
Molecule: long non-coding RNA, 1160 nt
Filed under: Capra hircus (goat)
Lineage: Eukaryota; Metazoa; Chordata; Mammalia; Artiodactyla; Bovidae
Description: lncRNA (ENSCHIG00010002331.1)
Source: RNAcentral